This is a long non-coding RNA of Lates calcarifer (barramundi perch), 191 nucleotides long. RefSeq lists it as uncharacterized. Lineage: Eukaryota; Metazoa; Chordata; Actinopteri; Centropomidae. The record is from RefSeq and is a predicted model, not a curated record. The transcript has 3 exons.
UUUCAAACCGACCGAAAAUUCCAUGGCGCCAUCUUGUCCCCGUCCAAUACUCAUUCCAUUCUGCGCCCAGAGUUGGACGUCUAUGGACAGCUCACUUUCACAGGUCCUGGUUUCCUGUCAGAGCUGCUCCACCACCUCUUCACAGGAAGAACAAAUAUAACUGAUGACACCUGAGAGCUUCCUGCUUGAGG